UCCGGUUUGUCACCGGCAGUAUCCCUAGAGUCCCCGACAUUACUCGCUGGUAACUAAGGACAAGGGUUGCGCUCGUUGCGGGACUUAACCCAACACCUCACGGCACGAGCUGACGACAACCAUGCAGCAUCUGUGCACGCUCCCUCGCGGGUCCCGUCUCUUACGAGUUGGUACCACGUGCAUGUCAAGCCGAGGUAAGGUUCUGCGCGUUGCAUCGAAUUAAACCACACGCUCCGCUGCUUGUGCGGGCCCCCGUCAAUUCCUUUGAGUUCUAAUCUUGCGACCGUACUCCCCAGGCGGGAUGCUUAAUGCGUUAGCUGCGCCACUGACGAGUAAACCCGCCAACGGCUAGCAUCCAUCGUUUACGGCGUGGACUAC
This 378-nucleotide unclassified non-coding RNA is filed under the name uncultured bacterium. Its description in RNAcentral is "contains 16S-23S intergenic spacer region". The record is from RNAcentral.